AAAGACAAAACACUUAACGAGCCAAACAUUAACGAAAACCAAGAGGAGGCAUCAGGUGAGGAGGUGGGGUUGCUAAUAGGUAAAUGUUCAUCCUGAAGCAGGAACUACAACUUGUUUGAUAAUCCAUGACACAAUAUAACACUUUCGGAGUGCAUCGACAGACACCAUGGUCUCCACUAAAGAUCAAAUCUGGAUCUUUCACACUAAAAAGUACAACCCACAAUCACUAAAACCAAAGUAGUAGCUUUAGCUGUGAGCAAGGAGGUUUCUGCUAAAGUUUCUAGGGGCCCAGAGAGUAAUGAGAGACAUGACUCAUCCAAACUCUAGCAAACAGAGGGAUACAAUCACAAGUCAGCACUACAGUUUCCCAAGAGAGUGUUAUGUUCCCAUUUAGGAUGAUUAUAGCUCUGGUUGUGGUGACAAGGUGAUAACACGGGGGUGGCUGUGACAGCACAGCUGUUUGUAUUGCUGCCCGACUGGGAUGCCUGCUUCACUGUGGUGAUGGUAUGAGAUGGCAGGGAAAUGAUUUGGAAACAAGAAGCUGAAGUGAGAGACCAUGUGAUUGUUACACUGGCUCUGGCCACAGGUGAAGAUGGUGUAGACAAGAAGCAAUGCAAACCCAAGGACAGCGCUGAGCAUGAGAGCACACAGGAGGAGGCUCUUCCCCCGAAGUGAAGACAGCCCCAGGGAAGGGAUGGAAAAGGAGGAAGGAGAAUUUGUAUGGCUUACAAACAGAGAGUGGGUACGUUUUUCUUUCAUGUACUACUCCUUCACUCCCUCCAAGACCAUCCCCUGUGAUCCCUCCUUCCCACUGUAAUAUGUUUCUCUCU
Molecule: non-coding RNA, 830 nt
Organism: Pelodiscus sinensis (Chinese soft-shelled turtle)
Lineage: Eukaryota; Metazoa; Chordata; Testudines; Trionychidae
Source: RefSeq, a predicted model, not a curated record